CGAGUUUCGUGAUGUCGAAUA
RNAcentral lists this microRNA (21 nucleotides) under Strongyloides ratti. RNAcentral describes it as "str-miR-76-5p". Its record names the gene str-miR-76-5p. The record is from miRBase by way of RNAcentral. Lineage: Eukaryota; Metazoa; Nematoda; Chromadorea; Rhabditida; Strongyloididae.